CGCGUAGGCGGCUUCUCAAGUCCGGGGUGAAAUCUUUCGGCCUAACCGGAAAAGGGCCUUGGAUACUGGGGAGCUCGAGGGGGGUAGGGGCAAGCGGAACUUCCGGUGGAGCGGUGAAAUGCGUUGAUAUCGGAAGGAACGCCGGCGGCGAAAGCGGCUUGCUGGACCCCUCCUGACGCUGAGGCGCGAAAGCCAGGGGAGCGAACG
Molecule: ribosomal RNA, 207 nt
Filed under: uncultured bacterium
Lineage: Bacteria
Description: partial 16S ribosomal RNA
Rfam family: Bacterial small subunit ribosomal RNA
Source: RNAcentral